AAUUAUUGCCGAUCCUCCCCUCCAACACUGCUCUCAUCACCUAUAUACUCUUUUCUCUGCCCGUCUCUGUUCCGCCCCCCCCCCCAACUUUUCUCCCGGGCCGACGGAGCUGAAGGGGCGGGGGUUUCUUCCUUGGAGUGUUUCUAGAGCUCGGAGGCUGCUAGUAGGGGGGCACCACUUUAAGAUAAAAACAUAGACCUGAAUGGCAUCAUCCAGUAUCCAAGGAAACCAUUGUGUCUGUAACCAGCUAAUGAGCUGCAACAGAGCCUGGCCUUCAUUUUCAGCAAAUUAAGUUCAUCCCUCAUAGGAAUUGUGGUCUGGCUGUGGCACCGCUCCUAGGUAUGGGUGGGAUUUGUUUCUUCUACCAGUUGUAGGUUAGCCACAUGGGUACGUGCUGUCGCACCACACAACAAAAUUUUCUCUAUAAUAACCAGUCUAAGUAGCCUUUUACCCCACAAAAGUAGAUCCCAUUUAAUUUACUUUGUGUUUAUAGCACUCCCUCUCAAACCGCACCAUUGGCACAGACUAAUAUUUAUACAACUUUUUAUUUUAAACUAUUU
This 560-nucleotide non-coding RNA is filed under the name Pongo abelii (Sumatran orangutan). Lineage: Eukaryota; Metazoa; Chordata; Mammalia; Primates; Hominidae. The record is from RNAcentral.